GCUAAGGCCCCAAAAUGAUCGCUAAGUGGAAAAGGAGGUGAGAGUGCAGAAACAGCCAGAAGGUUUGCUUAGAAGCAGCCACCCUUUAAAGAGUGCGUAAUAGCUCACUGGUGGAGCGUUCUCGCGCCGAAAAUUUACGGGACUAAGCGGUCUGCCGAAGCUGUGGGAUAGAUGUAUUAAUUUAAAAGAAAUGCAUGUAUCGGUAGGGGAGCGUUCCGCUCUAGGGUGAAGCAAGAGUGUAAACACUUGUGGACGAAGCGGAAGUGAGAAUGUCGGCUUGAGUAACGCAAACAUUGGUGAGAAUCAAAUGCCCCGAAAACCUAAGGCUUCCUUCACUAGGUUCGUCCAUGGAGGGUUAGUCGGGUCCUAAGGCAAGGCCGAAGGGCGUAGUCGAUGGAAAACAGGUUAAUAUUCCUGUACUUCCUCUUGGUAGGCACCGAGGGACGAAGGAGGCACGAGAUGGCUAAAAUUGGAUUUUAGUGGAAGUGUAUAAGGCUAAGAGGACCAGAAGAGAAACUGAGUCUAAGCUGAAUCACCAUACGGCCCCACAACUAGUCGAUCCCCUGUGGAUUUGCUUAGUGGGGCUUAUCUCUCUAUGUCAAACUUCCUAGAAAAGCUCGAACUGCUUUGUUACCAAGAGGAACCCGUACCCCAAACCGACACAGGUAGGUGGGUAGAGAAUACCUAGGGGCGCGAGAUAACUCUCUCUAAGGAACUCGGC
This 721-nucleotide ribosomal RNA is filed under the name Coccomyxa viridis. RNAcentral describes it as "bacterial LSU rRNA". It matches the Rfam family "Bacterial large subunit ribosomal RNA", at positions 1038 to 1718 of the family's 2925-position model. The record is from RNAcentral. Lineage: Eukaryota; Viridiplantae; Chlorophyta; Trebouxiophyceae; Coccomyxaceae.